RNAcentral lists this long non-coding RNA (236 nucleotides) under Physcomitrium patens. RNAcentral describes it as "long non-coding RNA (PPAT_LNC001581)". The record is from RNAcentral. Lineage: Eukaryota; Viridiplantae; Streptophyta; Bryopsida; Funariales; Funariaceae.
AUGUCCAACAAUUACAACCUCUCGUACUCCAAAUACAGACUUCAUACCCGAUAAUGUAAGAUGAACUUCUCCAAGCCGAGUUAAAAUCUUUUCACAAUCUUCUAUAUGAUCAACAAUAUAUUUGCGACACCCCCUCGUAUCUAACGUUUCAUCCUUGUCUCCUUCUCUGCACCCUUUUAUAGGAACAUCAUCCAGAAAAGGCAUAGUCUUUUUUCGAAUAAAAUCUCUCAAUACCU